RNAcentral lists this ribosomal RNA (739 nucleotides) under cyanobacterium enrichment culture clone 5_4_5.2.8_F10-T7. RNAcentral describes it as "bacterial SSU rRNA". It matches the Rfam family "Bacterial small subunit ribosomal RNA", at positions 72 to 852 of the family's 1533-position model. The record is from RNAcentral. Lineage: Bacteria; Bacillati; Cyanobacteriota.
GGGCUCUUCGGAGCUAGUGGCGGACGGGUGAGUAACGCGUGAGGAUCUGCCCUUAGGACGGGGACAACAGCUGGAAACGGCUGCUAAUACCCGAUGUGCCGAGAGGUGAAACUAUUUGGCCUGAGGAUGAGCUCGCGUCUGAUUAGCUAGUUGGAGUGGUAACGGCACACCAAGGCGACGAUCAGUAGCUGGUCUGAGAGGAUGAUCAGCCACACUGGGACUGAGACACGGCCCAGACUCCUACGGGAGGCAGCAGUGGGGAAUUUUCCGCAAUGGGCGAAAGCCUGACGGAGCAAGACCGCGUGCGGGAGGAAGGUCUAUUGAUUGUAAACCGCUUUUGAUAGGGAAGAAGAUCUGACGGUACCUAUCGAAUCAGCAUCGGCUAACUCCGUGCCAGCAGCCGCGGUAAUACGGGGGAUGCAAGCGUUAUCCGGAAUUAUUGGGCGUAAAGCGUCCGUAGGUGGUUUUAAAAGUCUGUUGUCAAAUCGCGAGGCUUAACCUCGUACAGGCAGUGGAAACUAUAAGACUAGAGUGCGGUAGGGGUAGAGGGAAUUUCCAGUGUAGCGGUGAAAUGCGUAGAUAUUGGAAAGAACACCGGUGGCGAAGGCGCUCUACUGGGCCUGCACUGACACUGAGGGACGAAAGCUAGGGGAGCGAAAGGGAUUAGAUACCCCUGUAGUCCUAGCCGUAAACGAUGGAAACUAGGUGUUGCCCGUAUCGACCCGAGCCGUGCCGAAGC